This 1082-nucleotide ribosomal RNA is filed under the name Triticum aestivum (bread wheat). Its description in RNAcentral is "partial small subunit ribosomal RNA". The record is from RNAcentral. Lineage: Eukaryota; Viridiplantae; Streptophyta; Magnoliopsida; Poales; Poaceae.
CGGGCUACGCCUAGAGUACCUGCUUGCUUGGGAUCAGAUAAAGGCGGACUAAGUCGUCGGUGCUGGGGCACCAAGAAGAGCAGCCGUCUAGAUGGAGGGAGUCCCUCACGAGAAGUAGUACCAAUACUGUCUCCAUUAGAAGUACAACAGAAGAUCUCAUACAAGGAUUAAGGAGAAAGUUAGGACGUCUAAAGAGAGAGACGAGCCCGCCCCCGCGUCGUUAAGAAGCACGGAAUAUCAGGUGUUUCCAUUUAUUUCCACCUCACACUCGAAGGGAAGUUGCAAACAACCAGUGACCUCAAAAACACAGCCGAUGGUUCAUAAACGUUCUACUCUUGACAACACCUAAUCGGGCGUAGUUAAACAAGUACCUCUGCACAGCCUGUCUUUUCGCCAUUUCGAGUAACGGGCGUACAGCCAAUGACUCAUAAACGUUCUACCUUUAACAACGGCCAAUCGGGUCGCAGUUAAACAAGUUACCUCCUCUACACAGAUGGUUUUCAAACCACGCACAAGCUCUUUUUCCACAUCUCCAAACUUCCACAACGAGAGUUGUCAGAACAUAUAAUAAAAGUUGUGGUACUAUAAUCACACCUUUACUCAUUACAAUAAAACUGGUACCAGUCUAUAUUACACACAAAACCAGUGAGAAAAGAACGAAGGUACGUUCCAUCUAAUCUCUUACAUCGGUAAACACGAAAUGGUAUCAACAAUCAAAACGUCAACACUAAAAGAAUAUCUGAACGAACGUAAUAACAGGACUAAUAAUUAAGUUAACAUGGUUCCAUACAACAAACAUAAAUCGAACGUUACAAUAAGACGUCUUACCUAAUUCCUUGACUUCCUCAACUUACUGAACGUCUAACACAAACAAAAGAAAGAACACGUUUCUCCAAGUUAGACCAAACAUCAAGUAGUAAUAAAGUACAAAUGCCAACAUUUCUUAGUUCUUAGUACGUUCCACAAUAGAUGAAUCAGAGUACACAGUACCGAUUGAAAAAAUCAACUAAACACCUAAAGCAACAGAAUAUGAAUUUAACUAAACGUAUCACACGAUUAGAUAAAGUCCCCAUGAGACAGGU